Molecule: long non-coding RNA, 401 nt
Organism: Macrobrachium nipponense
Lineage: Eukaryota; Metazoa; Arthropoda; Malacostraca; Decapoda; Palaemonidae
Exons: 3
Source: RefSeq, a predicted model, not a curated record
AGCCAUCACAACUGGAACUCCACAUUGCACUUGAACCACGUUGCUGUUCCUGGUUCCUAAGCACUCACUCCGCAAACACAGUUACGACCAGCAGACGACUACACUCUUUAUGAGGAGACGUUGACCUGAAACGUGGACCUGUUACUCAUUACAGUAAGAAAAAUUGCCAAUAUAGUACUUGAUGAAAAAUUGCCAUUCAGUACUUGAUGAAAUUUUGUUGACCUCCAGACUUGUGCCUGUAACUCUGGAUUAUUUUAACUGUGACUUGUUCCUCUGCAGGUUCCCCUUCAUGACAAAUUCACUUCCAUAUCAUCUGAGAGACUUGGUGAGUAGCUGAGUAAAAUGUAUUAUGGUACAUCAUUCCUUCCCAACCAGGUAAUGGUUUGAAUCCAACAGAUUAC